Molecule: long non-coding RNA, 653 nt
Organism: Bombyx mori (domestic silkworm)
Lineage: Eukaryota; Metazoa; Arthropoda; Insecta; Lepidoptera; Bombycidae
Exons: 4
Source: RefSeq, a predicted model, not a curated record
UGCACAUACCGACUACCGGUCAGCUAGUUGUAUAAUACAAAUGAAUUCUAUUCGCGAGCUCCAACGAAUCCGUUCAUCCCAUUUGUCAUUCCCCAGGGUGAUCGUAAUUCAAAUUAUUGUCGGACCCGGAAUGAUUUAAUUGCUGUCUUUUAACAAUUAACGCGAUGUGACAUGUAUGAACCACCAUGUGAGAAGCUAGAAGCGAUUCUAAUGCAAAGCGAUGAGCAACCCGCAGAUCAAAUUUUAAAUUCCAUUUAACCUUCAAGGAAGAUUUACUAGAUUGUAAAGGAACGAAGCUAUUUGUGUGCACGCGAUUUAGUCGUCAGCGGACUUUGUCGUAUGCGUAAACUGUUAGAGCGAUUUGAACGAAAAAGUGUGUUCUAAUAUAGGUGGAUCCGAAAGAAGCAGCGAAGCGUUGGGCGUCCCCCUGCCCGUUGGACCGAUGACUUGCGGCGAUAUGCUGGGAGAGAUUGGAUGCGGAAGGCGGAGGAUCGUUCAUUGUGGCGGACUAUGGGAGAGGUCUGCAUCCAGCAGUGGAGAGAAACAGGCUGAUUGAUGAUGAUGACUUUACUAGGAACAAAUUGUACAAUGAUAAAAUCCAAAGAAUAGUUAAAGCGCAAUUCGAAUAGCAAUUAUAAAAUCGGUUCAUCAAA